ACGUGUUCUUCAGGCCGCCGGGUCGGCCCUGCACCGGCGGAGACGCCGUGAUGCGGGCUCCCGACGCGCCUUCCACACCAAACCCCUGUGAACCUUUGGGAGGGCUCGAGAGGGCCGUCCCCUUUACAAACUCUUGUCAUUUUUAGAAUGAACGCGGACUCUGUUCGCCUAAACAUGUAA
RNAcentral lists this unclassified non-coding RNA (180 nucleotides) under uncultured Trechispora. Its description in RNAcentral is "sequence contains ITS1". Lineage: Eukaryota; Fungi; Basidiomycota; Agaricomycetes; Polyporales; Polyporaceae. The record is from RNAcentral.